Molecule: ribosomal RNA, 253 nt
Filed under: uncultured bacterium
Lineage: Bacteria
Description: partial 16S ribosomal RNA
Rfam family: Bacterial small subunit ribosomal RNA
Source: RNAcentral
UACAGAGGUCUCAAGCGUUGUUCGGAUUCAUUGGGCGUAAAGGGUGCGUAGGCGGCGCGGUAAGUCGGGUGUGAAAUCUCGGAGCUUAACUCCGAAACUGCAUUCGAUACUGCCGUGCUUGAGGACUGGAGAGGAGACUGGAAUUUACGGUGUAGCGGUGAAAUGCGUAGAUAUCGUAAGGAAGACCAGUGGCGAAGGCGGCAUCCUGGACCGGCAUUGACGCUGAGGUGCGAAAGCUAGGGGAGCAAACGGG